This 253-nucleotide ribosomal RNA is filed under the name uncultured bacterium. RNAcentral's name for it is "partial 16S ribosomal RNA". It matches the Rfam family "Bacterial small subunit ribosomal RNA", at positions 524 to 776 of the family's 1533-position model. The record is from RNAcentral.
UCCAGCGGUCUCAAGCGUUGUUCGGAUUCAUUGGGCGUAAAGGGUGCGUAGGUGGCGCGGUAAGUCGGGUGUGAAAUUUCGGAGCUUAACUCCGAAACUGCAUUCGAUACUGCCGUGCUUGAGGACUGGAGAGGAGACUGGAAUUUACGGUGUAGCAGUGAAAUGCGUAGAGAUCGUAAGGAAGACCAGUGGCGAAGGCGGGUCUCUGGACAGUUCCUGACACUGAGGCACGAAGGCCAGGGGAGCAAACGGG